AGGAAGAGUGGUGAGAUGCCAUAAUGGUUGCUGCAGUCUGAUUUUUUCCCUUUCGUCUUGAAGGUGGUGAUGAUGGAGGCAUCAUUGAAAUCCUGUGACAUCUCCUCCAUGGACCAUAUGUUGAGGAAGGGCUUGUAUUCCCACCUGGACUGUGAUGAGGCUAGAACCAGCUUCACUCUCAAGAGAUACUGAGGUGGAAGAUGGUGUCGGUAGUCGCAAGAUGACGAUCAGCACAUUCACUGAGCAAAAAGUCCAAGUCUGGAGGACAAGGAGGGAACAGCCCUGAGUCAGAAACAGGACCAAGCAGAAAAGAGAAGAAUGAAAGGAAUGUAACACAAGUUUGCUGGUCAGCAAUUGGAAUGGAGAGAGAAGAAAAGAUGCCACAGUCUCACACCAAAACAUACACACACACACCCCCGCAGACCAAGCGUCUUCAUGUCUGAACAACCAGCCGAUGAUUUCAGAGACAGCAAACUCCCUGAAAGGACGCACCAUUUCUUUCUACGAUCCCAUAGUGCCCAAGAGUGCCAGGUAACCAUGGAGGCUUAAUCAAGAUUUUGAAGACAAUGACAGUGGUAAUGAUGAGGGAUGAGACAUAAGGACCAGUAAAAGUGUUCA
This is a long non-coding RNA of Ornithorhynchus anatinus (platypus), 618 nucleotides long. RefSeq lists it as uncharacterized. The transcript has 6 exons. The record is from RefSeq and is a predicted model, not a curated record. NCBI's taxonomy places the organism in Eukaryota, Metazoa, Chordata, Mammalia, Monotremata, Ornithorhynchidae.